CAAGGUGCUGCAUGGUUGUCGUCAGCUCGUGCCGUGAGGUGUCGGGUUAAGUCCCAUAACGAGCGCAACCCCUAUCACUUAGUUGCCAUCAGGUCAAGCUGGGGACUCUAAUGAAACUGCCUACGCAAGUAGUGAGGAAGGUGGGGAUGACGUCAAAUCAGCACGGCCCUUACGUCCAGGGCUACACACGUGCUACAAUGGCCGGUACAAAGGGCAGCUACCUGGUGACAGGAUGCUAAUCUCAAAAGCCGGUCUCAGUUCGGAUCGGAGUCUGCAACCCGACUCCGUGAAGUUGGAUUCGCUAGUAAUCGCGCAUCAGCCAUGGCGCGGUGAAUACGUUCCCGGGCCUU
Molecule: ribosomal RNA, 350 nt
Filed under: uncultured Sphingobacteriales bacterium
Lineage: Bacteria; Pseudomonadati; Bacteroidota; Sphingobacteriia; Sphingobacteriales
Description: bacterial SSU rRNA
Rfam family: Bacterial small subunit ribosomal RNA
Source: RNAcentral